UAUAGUCCCCACAAAUAUGUUUUUCUUUUCCUCUGUGCAGCAAACCUGGAAGCCUGUGCUAAAUGCCCACCAUCUUUGCUGUUUUUCUUCUGAAGAAACCUGUGAAGUAAGGGGGCAGGUGGUGUCAUUGUUGGCAACACUGAGGUCAAAAGUCUGUGUGAGAGUUUAAAUGAGAACUCAGGUCUUCAGCCUGCCCACUGCUAUGCAGAAGCAUUAACUUCAUGUGGGCAGAGUAACUGAAUGUUUUAAGUCAAGGCCACAUGUCACAAAUGGCAAAGGGAGAGAACCACAUUGCAUUUGCUUCUUGGGCUUAGAAUGCAACCACACCAAGACUGUUUUGUCAGUGUUCUAUAAAGGGACCCCAUAAGGGAAAAAUUAAGUUAAGUUCUGCACUUACUGGGUAUUUCACAAAGCCAGUAAGUAGUCAACUCAAUAGGUAGAAAUAUUUUUUAAGUCAUGACUUUUCUUUAUGUCCUCGUUUUUAUUAAAGCUUUGGUAAGCACUUAAUUUGCAUGUGACCCAAUGAAGUGUGCUGUGUAAAUAAACACCGGACUAGAUAUAGUUUCUAAAUGUGUUUGGCCUCAUCCAGCUGAAAUUCUUGAUUCUUCAGAAGAUGAAAGAAAAAGGACAAGGAACCUUCUCUUAGAUCUACAUGAAAAUCCCAUCGCUGUUCUGUGGGAGAAUGGCUUGGUAUGGGGCCUUUGGAACUCAGGUUCUGCUGUGCAGCCAUUGAGUUCUCACCGACUCUCACUGCUGCAGGCUCUUUAGAGGACUCCUUGUGGUGUUGGCAACCCAUGGGUUGAAGAAUUGGAUGGAUGAAAAAUAUAAUUUGUUUACAUAGCAGCUAUCUUUUGAGCCAUAUUAUCUCCUAUCAACCUUGGAACAAUAUAAUAAAGUAGAGGGGUGUUUUACAGAGUAAGCCUUUCUUCAGUUCAACUUGCAGAAAUGGUGGUGUUUUUAUUUUCCAGUGAACUCUUACAACAAAAUGUUCAUUAAUUAAAAAUAGCUGCCUGAUACAGGAAACAGCUCAUAUAGCAGCUUCUGACACGGUUCUAAAAACAGACUUGAGCUGCUUGCGUGCUAAACAGGAAUGAACAAUGAAAACUGUAUGAACAAAUUCAGGGCCUUUCCUUGGAUUUGUCUGUACCCCUCAUGUCCUUGCUGAGCACCAAGAGAUGCCAGUCAGCUGAGGUCGCCCAGCCUUGGCCAGUCCCCUGAUACCCUGUGGAGCUGCUCAUUGCUUUCUACUGAAAAUGAAAACUCUUAAUUUUGUUUUUUUAGAGAGAGGAAGAAAGAGACAGAGAGACAGAGAGAAGGAGAGACAUCGAUUGGUUGCCUCUUAUACACGCACCAACCGGGGACUGAACCUGAACUAUAGGUAUGGGACCGGAACUGAACACUCAACCCUUUGCUGUACAGGACGAUGCUGAGCCACACCAGCCAGGACAAAAACUCUUAACUUUUGUCAUUAUUUUUGACUCUAAGAUCUGUCUCUAGCAUAGACUCUAAGAGAAGUCUCCUGAGAUUUAGAAAGUAUAUUUCAUUUGCUUAAAUGAUUGUUAAAUUGGUCCUAGGUAUAAUGCAUUAAAUGUUUGGCAGGAAAAAAAAUGUUUAUUUCACAUUAUAUUGCUUCAUAAAUAACUAAUUUAUCAUGACUAGAGAGAAUUGAAGUUCAAAAUAUACCCAAAGGGGCCUGUGUUCUGGCUAUUUUUUGCAGUUUAAUAAACCAUUCCAACGUGUAAUAGCUUAAACCAGCAAUUUGUAACCUCGGGAUUCAGUGGGUUGACCAGGAAGUUCUGUUUCAUGUGAUGUUGGCUGGAUGCUGGAAUGGCUGUUGUCCUCUGAGGCUUGGCGAAGAGCUCAGCGGGACCCAGCGGCUGCUUGGGUUGCCUUGUGGUGUCUGGAUUCCACAAGGGAAGAGGUGAAUGCUGCCCAACCAGUUAAGGGCUAAGCCCAGAAUUGGCGCUGCAUCGUUUCUGCCAUAUUUUAAUGGUCUAAGCAGUAAUAGGCCCAACCCAAAGUCAGUGUGAGAAGGGACUAUGCAAAGACAUGAAUACUCAGAAGUGCAGUUUGUUGGAGGUAGUCACCAAAAUAACGGUUGACCAGGGUGUGUGCUCUCUGGCCCCUCACACAUGUAAACUGUGCUGACCUCCACACAAGACCUUUACAAUCUCACCUCAUUACUACAUCAGCUUAGUUCAGGAUUAGUCUAAAUCAGGUCAAAGAGCUGAUGAGGCUCUUUCGGUACAGCUAAUCUCAACUGAACACCUGGGAACUAAAGCGACAAACUGGGAACUAAAGGGACAAACUACACUAUGGGGUUGCCUGUUCGAUCCCUG
Long non-coding RNA from Myotis lucifugus (little brown bat), 2339 nucleotides. RefSeq lists it as uncharacterized. The record is from RefSeq and is a predicted model, not a curated record. The transcript is spliced from 4 exons. Lineage: Eukaryota; Metazoa; Chordata; Mammalia; Chiroptera; Vespertilionidae.